RNAcentral lists this unclassified non-coding RNA (44 nucleotides) under Nostocoides australiense Ben110. RNAcentral describes it as "Tetrasphaera australiensis Ben110 p27_CRE". Lineage: Bacteria; Bacillati; Actinomycetota; Actinomycetes; Micrococcales; Intrasporangiaceae. The record is from RNAcentral.
CCUUCCCGAGGAAGAUCUGGAUGAACAGUUCGCUCUGAUCAGGA